AAGAAUUGAAUGCUUCUUUUUGUAACUUUAUUGGGGUGUAAAAGCGUUGACCAAAGUACAUUUUGUAUGAAGCGCGGAAGUGCUUCGUUCUAAAAAUGUGCACACUGUCAACGCUUUUACAACCCUAUGAAGUUACAAAAAGAAGCAUUCAAUACUUAUAAUUACAUUUUUUAGCUAUGAUCAUGAAAACACUAAUUUUAUCAUUUUUUUUUAUUUAAUUCACCUGCAGUGCACUUUAUUGUCGGACCUUGUGUUAUCAUGAAUGAUAAGUUUUAUUGUGUAAUGCAAUUGCUUAUUGAAUAACAUGUGAUGUGCAGUUAGCCAAUCAGAAUAACAUAUUAUAAUGAAACAUACAUCUAAUGUAAUUAUGUUAUAAUGAUAUAACACAGUGUCCACUCAACUCUUCUGACUGGACAUCAUGUUGUUGGGUCACAAUUUGAAUGAUUAUUGAUAUAUUUGAUUUUUUGAAAGUUAGACACUUUUCAUUUUAUUGACUUUUAUAAUGCAAGUUAAGUUAAAACAACAUAUUUGUGAGCCAAUAUGCUCUGAAUUUUGACACCAGAAUUUUUUUUCAAAAAGUCUUUAGUUCAUAUAUAAGUAUCACAGCCCAAAUCUUUAUUUAAAUUAUUCAUAAAUAGGGAAGUAUAAUCGGUUCAUGAGACAUUUUGAAAGCCUUUUUAUAUGCCCGUCGUCUUUUAGACGGGACGUAUUAUGGUAUACCGUUGUCCGUCUGUCCGUCCGUCCGUCUGUCCGUCCGUCUGUCCGUCCGUCCGUCGUCCACACUUCGGACAAUAACUCAAAAACACUUUCACCAAUUUCCAUGAAACUUAAGUGAAUUGUUUAUAUCUAUUGACGUAAGCUCCCUUUCGUUUUUUUUUAAUUUCAGAUUUUAAGUUUUGGAUUUAUGGGGCUUUAUUCAUAAAAAAGGGGGGAUUUUCAACACUUCGAACAAUUACUCAAAAAGGCUUUCACCAAUGUCCAUGAAACUUUGGUGAAUUGUUUAUAUCUAUUGAUGUAAGCUCCCUUUCAAUUUUUAUAAAUUUCAGAUUUUAAGUUUUGGAUUUAUGGAGCUUUAUUCAUAAAAAAAGGGGGAUUUUCAACACUUCGGACAAUAACUCAAAAAGGCUUUCACCAAUGUCCAUGAAACUUUGGUGAAUUGUUUAUAUCUAUUGAUGUAAGCUCCCUUUCAAUUUUUAUAAAUUUCAGAUUUUAAGUUUUGGAUUUAUGGGGCUUUAUUCAUAAAAAAAGGGGGAUUUUCAACACUUCGGACAAUAACUCUAAAAGGCUUUCACCAAUGUCCAUGAAACUUUGGUGAAUUGUUUAUAUCUAUUGAUGUAAGCUCCCUUUCAAUUUUUAUAAAUUUCAGAUUUUAAGUUUUGGAUUUAUGGGGCUUUAUUCAUAAAAAAAGGGGGAUUUUCAACACUUCGGACAAUAACUCAAAAAGGCUUUCACCAAUGUCCAUGAAACUUUGGUGAAUUGUUUAUAUCUAUUGAUGUAAGCUCCCUUUCAAUUUUUAUAAAUUUCAGAUUUUAAGUUUUGGAUUUAUGGGGCUUUAUUCAUAAAAAAAAAGGGGGAUUUUCAACACUUCGGACAAUAACUCAAAAAGGCUUUCACCAAAGUCCAUGAAACUUUGGUGAAUUGUUUAUAUCUAUUGAUGUAAGCUCCCUUUCAAUUUUUAUAAAAUUUCAGAUUUUACAUUUCCGUGUUAUGAAUUUUUAUGCUUAAAAAAGGGGGG
This 1735-nucleotide long non-coding RNA is filed under the name Mytilus galloprovincialis (Mediterranean mussel). The record is from RNAcentral. Lineage: Eukaryota; Metazoa; Mollusca; Bivalvia; Mytilida; Mytilidae.